CAACCUGCCGCUUACUCGGGGAUAGCCUUUCGAAAGAAAGAUUAAUACCCGAUGGUAUAAAGAGUUCGCAUGUUCUCUUUAUUAAAGAAUUUCGGUAAGCGAUGGGGAUGCGUUCCAUUAGAUAGUUGGCGGGGUAACGGCCCACCAAGUCUACGAUGGAUAGGGGUUCUGAGAGGAAGGUCCCCCACAUUGGAACUGAGACACGGUCCAAACUCCUACGGGAGGCAGCAGUGAGGAAUAUUGGUCAAUGGACGCGAGUCUGAACCAGCCAAGUAGCGUGAAGGAUGACUGCCCUAUGGGUUGUAAACUUCUUUUAUAAGGGAAUAAAGUGAGGGACGUGUCCCUUUUUGUAUGUACCUUAUGAAUAAGGAUCGGCUAACUCCGUGCCAGCAGCCGCGGUAAUACGGAGGAUCCAAGCGUUAUCCGGAUUUAUUGGGUUUAAAGGGAGCGUAGGUUGACAUAUAAGUCAGCUGUGAAAGUUUACGGCUCAACCGUGAAAUUGCAGUUGAUACUGUAUGUCUUGAGUGUACAAGAGGUGGGCGGAAUUCGUGGUGUAGCGGUGAAAUGCUUAGAUAUCACGAAGAACUCCGAUUG
This 594-nucleotide ribosomal RNA is filed under the name uncultured Bacteroidota bacterium. RNAcentral's name for it is "bacterial SSU rRNA". It matches the Rfam family "Bacterial small subunit ribosomal RNA", at positions 122 to 715 of the family's 1533-position model. The record is from RNAcentral. Lineage: Bacteria; Pseudomonadati; Bacteroidota.